CAGCAGUGGGGAAUAUUGCACAAUGGGGGAAACCCUGAUGCAGCCAUGCCGCGUGUGUGAAGAAGGCCUUCGGGUUGUAAAGCACUUUCAGUAGGGAGGAAGGUAGUGUAGUUAACACCUGCAUUAUUUGACGUUACCUACAGAAGAAGCACCGGCUAACUCCGUGCCAGCAGCCGCGGUAAUACGGAGGGUGCGAGCGUUAAUCGGAAUUACUGGGCGUAAAGCGCAUGCAGGCGGCCUGUUAAGUCAGAUGUGAAAGCCCGGGGCUUAACCUCGGAAUUGCAUUUGAAACUGGCAGGCUAGAGUCUUGUAGAGGGGGUAGAAUUUCAGGUGUAGCGGUGAAAAUGCGUAGAGAUCUGAAGGAAUACCAGUGGCGAAGGCGGCCCCCUGGACAAAGACUGACGCUCAGAUGCGAAAGCGUGGGGAGCAAACAGGAUUAGAUACCCUGGUAG
This 452-nucleotide ribosomal RNA is filed under the name uncultured bacterium. Its description in RNAcentral is "bacterial SSU rRNA". It matches the Rfam family "Bacterial small subunit ribosomal RNA", at positions 349 to 793 of the family's 1533-position model. The record is from RNAcentral.